RNAcentral lists this ribosomal RNA (460 nucleotides) under uncultured bacterium. RNAcentral describes it as "partial 16S ribosomal RNA". It matches the Rfam family "Bacterial small subunit ribosomal RNA", at positions 338 to 795 of the family's 1533-position model. The record is from RNAcentral.
CCUACGGGGGACAGCAGUGAGGAAUAUUGGUCAAUGGACGAGAGCCUGAACCAGCCAAGUAGCGUGAAGGAUGACUGCCCUAUGGGUUGUAAACUUCUUUGAUAUGGGAAUAAAAUGUUACACGUGUGGGAUUUUGUAUGUACCAUAAGAACAAGGAUCGGCCAACCCCGUGCCAGCAGCCGCGGUAAUACGGAGGAUCCGAGCGUUAUCCGGAUUUAUUGGGUUUAAAGGGAGCGUAGGUGGAUUGUUAAGUCAGUUGUGAAAUUUUGCGGCUCAACCUUAAAAUUGCAGUUGAAACUGGCAGUCUUGAGUACAGUAGAGGUGGGCGGAAUUCGUGGUGUAGCGGUGAAAUGCUUAGAGAUCACGAAGAACUCCGAUUGCGAAGGCAGUUCACUGGACUGCAACUGACGCUGAGGCUCGAAAGUGUGGGGAUCAAACAGGAUUAGAUACCCUUGUAGUC